UGAAGAAUUGUUCAGGAGAGUGGGGAAUUACUCAUUUCCUAGUUUACUGGUGGGGAUCUGCCUUAUGUAUUGCUACACCUAGGAUGUAUUUUUAACUCUCCUGUGGUAACUAUAGCAUACGUACAGAUGGACUUACUGAAGGAUAGAUAAAACAUACUACAAAUUACACAGACUGUGCACAGGGAUACUAGGAAUGUGGCUGGCUGUAGAAGUACCUAGCUCUUGCAGUCACUAAUGUUUUUUUAAUUGAGACAAUACUAGAUAGUCUGGUUGCUUUUUUGUCUUUUUUUCUUCAUUUGUUUGCCUAUACGCUUGUAAAGGACAGGUUGAAAUCAGGACUCAUGUAGCAGAGGCAUUCACAAAGUGGGCUGCUUCUGAGGCCAGACCAGUCCCAUCUGUAAAGGACAAAGGCUGCUCACUGCAUGGUUGUUCAGAGCUGUUCAAGGAUGGAAAACGCAAGGAAUCAUAGAGCCUGCCUUUCAGAUAAACCUUAUCCCUGCAAGUGUACUGGUACUUGAAAAAGAGUCCUUGAAUAACCUGCACAGAAGCUGAACCACCAGAGAGAUGCUACUUUGGAAAAGCAAGCAGAGGAAGGUACCAGAAGCAGUUCAGAGGAAACACUUCUGAAAGUCAUCUGAGCUGGUGUCCCACGUGGUUUUCCUGGAGUGCAUGUUCUUCACACCAGGAAUUUGUGGUUCUCCUACAGUGCACACCCCACAGAUACAAACACACGAGGGCCUUUUGAAGAACAGCAGUUGCUGGGAGAAAGCAGGGUGUUUGAACAGGAAUGAAGGCAUCAGUACCUGAUACCCCUUUUGUCAGGUAAGCCAAGAGCAUGAAUGGGAUGUUCUGCCAGUCUCGAGGCAUUAAAUAUUUCUGCUUUGACUUACACCAGCUCCGAGCUGUUGUCAGAAAAACCAUUAGCUGCUUACGUCCAGACACUAAGCUAAAUCCUGGCUCCAGUGAGGCCAGUCAUAAAACUCAAAUUGAUUUCAGCAGCAAUAGAUAUUAGUCUCCCAGGCAAUGGUCAAGAGACAGGAGUUGGAUGGCAGUUUGUUAUCACCUGACAAUGCAAUUUUAUGUUAAAUUCACCCAAAGUUGUGAUAUAUUGAAAACUGUGUGCAUACAACACCGGGGCAUGGCAGUACAGCACUGGGAGACCCAGCGUUGGUAGCUAGUGAAAGUGAUUUCCAAAGUUUCCUGCAAAUUCAGAUGACUAUCUUAGCAAUUGAGAGACAUGGACAUCCUGGCUCCCAGCUGUGCAUGAAUGGCAGUCUAUGUCAUAUCACUUAGUGCUGAAAAUUUGUUCAUUUAAUUACUCAGCCAGACAGAAAUAUUAAAUGCUGUUUCAGAAUUCUUUAUUAGGGUAUAUGCUUUCCAGUAACUGCCUCACUUGUUCUCCACUAACAGUGGGGGAAAAACCCUCCCCCUGGGUUUUUACUGCUUGUAAGAGUAAACACCUCUUACAAAGAGAUUCUGUUCCUUAGCCAUUUUCUUUUCUGGCUGCAUUUCAUUGGUCUCAAGAAAAUAUGCAAAUUGCCGUGGAUGUUCUUCAGUGUCCAUUUAGAUCUUCCACUUACUUUUAAGAAAAUGCUUAUGGACCAUAUUUUUUUAUUUCCUCUUUGCUCUUCAUUUCUACAUAAUUUCCUAUUGUGACUUUUUAAACGCAUUAUUUUCAGAUUCCAGUCUGCACACAUAUGAAAUAAGUUAUAUUUUGUUCUAUUCUAGACCUAAAUUCAACAUUCACCAUUCAUCUUAACUGUUUCCUCUUAGACUGCAUAAAAAAAUCUGCAAUUCAGAGUCCUCUCUGAUGUCCUGUGGUAAUUCAAGUCUUAGAUAUAUUAUAUUUGCCAACAGUAAAUACUGUAUCCAUUUUUAGAGAAUGAUCCAAUCUGCUUGUAUUUCCUGAUCUUUCUUCUCAUUCUUUUGUUAUGAUAUGCUUUUUGCCUCUUAAUUGUUUCCAUGUGAAAUGGCCUCAGUCACAGUGGCUGCAAUGAAUAGUGUUCAUUUCAAACUCUCAGGGUUUUGAUCACAGCAGAUAACCAUGAACUGGUUACUCCCUGCCUUCAGCAGCACUCCUUAUGGACAAGUAGUAAGUUCUGCAGCAUUGGUAAGUGACAAACACCAAAGACCAAACAUAGCAGGCAAAAGGCAGCUCAGUUAAUGUGAUUUCUGCCCUUUUAACCAAUAGUCUUCAUCCUGCUUUCAAGUUCUGAACAGACAUGAAUUUUUUUGUUUCAGUAUGGCUGAAUAGCAUUAGGAACCAACCUAGGUUCUCUCACAUGAACUGUGUUUAAAAUGUCUUUUUUCUAAUAACUGGGGGGGGUCCCUUUUAUGUUUUAUAUACUGAGGCUGCUUUAUUAAAGUACAAAUCUGAGCCCCUUCAAUGAGGCAGAAAGCUCUGCUGGUUCUUCUGCAUUUCAUGGCUCAAUACAGGGCUGGAUGCACUUAACUGGGAGGUGUGAAGGAGCAUCCUGGAAGAGAUGGAAGCUAAAUAUAUUCUGCUACAAGAUUUCUUCCAUUCCACUCUCCACCCCCAGAUCCCAGAGACUACAAUGGCUUAUGCAGGGUUUUACAUAUGCAGCUAAUGGUGGAGGGAGGAGAAUUCCCACGGAUAAAGAGCUUUAGCCCAGUACCAGCACAGCACACAGCCUGAAGUGGUGCUGGGGUGGAUUCUGAGGAAAAGACUCCCAUCAUUGCUUCCAAAGAGAGGUCCUACACCAUUAUUUUUAGGAAAGGAUUCCUAGCUAGAAGGACAUCCUUUCUUACAGCUUUGAUAUAGGCCCCUGUACAAGGUGGAAAGGGGAUGGGAUUUCAUCUAAACCCCCUGCACUUAGUGUUGUCUCUUACUUAGCUGCAAGGGGCUUCCUGGUCUGGGGAGUUUAUUUUGUUUUGAGCCACCCUCUGACAGCCAGCUGUGUGUGUGCCUCACACAGCUUGCAAGGCUGAAGUGCUGUGGUCCCCCCAAGGCCAGGUACCUGUCGACAGACUUUCCAUCUUUUCCAAGAGCAUUGCCUUCUGUGUAACAAGCCCAACUCCAUAAAAACACAAAACAGCAAAUAAGAGUUUCCUCUCAUUUGCCCCUGAUUUUAUGCUUAUAUAAUUCCACUAAUUUCAUUUGCAUGAGAACAAAACCAGACCUCUAGUCUCUUGGUAGAAAUUAUUUUACAGGGCUGUUAUCCAAACCAGAAGGCCGAGCUGGAGUCCACUUCUGAUGCACAAACCACGACAGCAGAAGUGACAUGCAAAGUGGUAAUUUUAUUCUCAGUCUAUGUUUUUUAUGCAUGUUUAUGUAUGUUGAGUGCAGUGGGCUGGGGGCAGAGAACAGUCAAGCAGCCUUCUCUCUUUCACACAUGAUUGUCUAGCUGACUGGCUUUAUCUCCAGGUACCCAAAAGGAAAUGAAACCAUUAAAAAAGAUAUCUGCAAGCUGUAAACUCUGAGGGGAAGAAAUUACUGUUGGUUUGUCAGGUUUGCAGGUGAAUUACUUAUUUAUGUAGUUCAAUAGAUCUAAUAUUAAUCACAGAUGAAAGACACAAGUUAAACAUGCUUUGCAAACACACACAGUGCCCUCUCAUUUACUUGAGAAUGGGUCAACUUAAAAUUGUUCCUAGACAGGCACAGAUAAUCGAGUGGGGGAGCAGAAAUGAGGAUCAAAUGAAAGCAACCCAAAUUGCUUUUAAAAGUUUCAAAUGAGAAUGCUGCUGGAAGUGCUAUAAAAGAUAACACAAAAGAGCCAGCUAAAAAUUGUGCCUAAAGAUCAAUUUUUUGCAAGCAAUCAUAAAUCUUAACUUCAGCAGCUUUGUGUUCGUCUAGGGGCACUGGACAAGCGAAAAAAAGUUGACCUCAUCAUCAUGUGAAGUUUCCUAUUCCUGUCCUAAGUUGUCAUUGGUAAAAGCCUGCAGCAAAAAUUCCAGUUGUAAACAGUGAUGUGCUGCCAAUGUUUCAGCAAGGGUAGCCCACAUUUUUUCCUCCCUGCAGCUGCAGCACAGCUUGUAUGUAAGCGGCUCCAUGGCUCUAGAGGAGAGGGAUGCAGACCAGCCCCCCCAGCCCUCCCUUCAUUUGCUUCUCUGGUGAAACAUAAAUGCCCUUUCUCAGGUGUAACUAAAAAGGGAGAUCUGUAAUUUGGCAAAUGGACUUUGAGAGCACAAGGUCUUGUUUCUGUGGAGCUGCCCACGGAAAUAGGAGCAAGAAGCUCUUACCCUCUCUUGCACCCCCUCCAACUGCACAGCACAAAGAGGCAUCUGCAGGUUUUGCAUCCUCACAACUCAUUCUCAAACUUGUGGCACUUUUCCAUACCAUCCUUCUGGGAAAGAGACACUUGAUUUUUGGGUAGCUGACCGAGGACCAUAUGAGUGAUGGUGCAGCCCUUCCAGCAAGCAGAUGUUCCUGAAAUGCAGGGUGAAAUUCAGCUCACCCAGACAGCUGUGGGUUAGACUUCACUGCAGAGCUGAAGGACGUGAUGCAGCAGAACAAUUAGUUCCCUUCCAACACAUCUGCCAAAGGCAGCAGGCACGUGCCUCAGCAUGCAGCUCCCACUCUCACUUGCAGGAUGGCUCCCUCAAAUCUAGUUUUAAAAACAUGGGGAUCAGUGACUACUUAUUAGCUGUCUCAUACCUGCCUGGCAGUUUGCUUGGUGCAAUUAAAUAUGUCUCCAGGAUGUAUAGUAAGAGUCAAUUGAAUGUUUAAAGCAUCAUGCAGAUAAUGUACAUGAUGUGGAAAAAUAUACUUGGGAUCGGGUAGCCCAUGACUGAAACAGACAAAAAGAAAAAAGCUCUGGGUAAAGAAAGUCAGAUAAAAAGAGCUUUGGAAAGAAUUUCAGGGAUAGUAACCUCCCUUUGAAAUGUGUCUGUGCAGUCGGCGUCUUGGAGAACCUUGAAAAUGUUUGUAUUUUUUUCCUGCUUUAUAUCCUUAAAAAUAUCCCACUCAUUUUUUCUUCCCCUCAGGCCUAGUCAAUAUUGUCAUUAAAAACUGAAGGACCUCUUCUAAACAAUUGGAAAAAAUGUGCUUGUAAAACUGUGCAAAUACCUGUUUCCAAAAAUAACUAAAUCUGCUGUGGUUUCAGGGACAUAAGCGAUGCAUUUUGAAAUAGGACUAAAUGUUUAUUUACAUGAGAGAGCAUGCUAGCUCUGGUCUACUGAGAAAAUAAUGGGCAUUAAACCCUAUACAGCAGUGAAUAAAAAGUAGAUUUGAGUGAUUUAGUGAUCUACCUUUUCUUUUUAAGAAAAACAACUCACUUUGAGGCUGAGUAAAAGAAUAACUACUUUGUUAGCAACUUAUCUCUUUUGAUUUUAAAACUCUUAGGACUUCUUUGAUGUAAUGGAAGAUAAUGAGAGGCACGGCAAGAAGCAGGUUUAUUGUCCCCUAUAGAAAAAUAUCAAUCCAAAGUUGGAUUGUCAGCUCCUUAACUUGGUCUUCUCUGUGUCAUUGAGUUGAUGUAAUGAGGCUUUAGCACGGUCCUAGCCAGCCAGUGGUGGAUUUCCUUCGAGGCAGAGGCUGUCCCCAGAGGUAAGAAAGCUGUGCCAUGUCCCCACCUGCCUUCAUUGCCCAGCGAAGGAGAUGGCACGAGAGGGAAGAGGCAAAGAGAUGCAGCCUGAGCAGCAGAGGGCUGUGAUACUUGCCUGCUCGAGCAGCUUGCACUAAUUUGAGCAGCCCAAAGGUCAGGACUAUUUAUGCAGAUAAAAGGUCAAUGGCAAGCUGGCAUGUGGCUGCAGGCUAUCUUGGUACGCACUUCACCCGGGGCACUGGUGCAGGCUUCUGAUUCACAGUUUGUCUUUCUGCAUGAACUUUCAGGCCAAGCUUUGGCUGGGAAAAAAAAAUCUCUGCCAUGGGAGUUGACACAGUUAGGAUCCAGAUGCAAUUUUUUUUUUUGUGGCUCAGGCUCAUCUGGGGCUAAAUCAAACCUUUGAAUCAUUUAUUUAUAAAAGCAGCCAAAUUCUGAACUGUUUGCUCAGUAUUUAAGCGGCCCUUGUGUUGGAUAAACCCCUCUGAAAGCAGGCCUGAGUGGAAAUAGAGGAAAAAGUGAGUAAGAUGCUCAGGAUGUGACCUGCUGAAAGAAAGCCAGUGAAAAGCCUACUGAAUUCAACAGAGGUGGAUUCUUCAGCUGUCAGUGUGUGUGGACAUAAAUCUCUUUAAACAUGCAGGAUCUUAGAGCACAAGACUUAAUGACAGGGUUUGAAUUUCCAGAGCAGCUUCAGCUGAGGUGAAACAAUGUAUGUUUGGGUGAAAAAGGGAAGUAGAUAUACUAAGUUAAUCUAGUCAGAUUCUACACUGUAUUUCAAAUUUUACAGUCAAUAAGUGCUUCACCCUUUGCUGUGGUGAAAAUUAAAAUAUAUUUUAACUUUCAGUUCCAGCAGCUGUCUGUUUGCCUGCACUGGUUUUAAAGAAAAUCCUUUUGACUUCUGCUGUAAAUCAGUCCCAUAUGCCUUGGUCCCCAGUAGGAAGUAUGGAAAAUAUUUUGUGACAUUUAAUUACUCCAAAAAAAAGGUAAUGGGAAAGCAUCAUUACAUUGAUUUGUUUUUCAUCACAGAGGUAUCUGGCACCAUGCCCUAAUUAAGGCUGCAGCAAUAACUCUAUUAUAAGCACUGCUUUGCCUCCCCCAGGAAUUUUUUAAUAGUUACCUAUGAUUCUGUCCUUUUUUGUUUGUUAAUAAAGAAAAAAUAUGUUAGGAUGAAAACCUUCUAUGUAGAAAUCUACCAAAACUAAGAGUCUUCAGAUCCAGAAAAACAUAUUUUUCCUCUAAUUUCUUCCUGUCAAAAUGGAGAAUUUCCAAGUACUUCCUUGACCACUGUCUUCCUAGAUCUUCACAUGAGGGGAAGUUUGAACAGUUGCUUGGAUGCAUCUUGUCAAGUUGUGAUGAUAAUAACUGGGUAACUGGGUGGUGCUUCUCACAGAUGAAGGCUUCUGCCCCACAGGUGGGAGAGCUGGUGACUCUUGAUGGCUUCCUCUUACAGCUCGUCAAAGGAACGUCAAAGGAAAGAAAAAGAAGCCUUUGCAGAAUCUGAAAAUAUUGGAAUACAUUCUGCAAUUUCCUGGACUUUAUGCUGCCUCUUGUAAGUGUUACAGUAUUAUUCCCAGUCCUGGGAAAACAGAACUGUACUAAAUAUGAUGACUGUGGGAUUUCUGUUAUCUUGGAGUAAAUACGGGGUAUAUGUUUUCCCUCCUCUUAAGGUAUUUUAGAAAAUGAAACACAGAAAAGGUAAGAUCUUGCUCAGAGUUAGUGUGAGGGCCAUCUCUUCUUUUACUUCAAGAACACAGUUUAGAAAUGGGAUCUCUUACUGCCUCUGCUCAGGCAGCAUUCUCAUCUUCCAGAAUGAUCUCACUGGUGAGAUGAAGACCUAGAGCUAGGUUUUUCUCAUAGGAGCACAGAAAAUACUGCAGGUUUAUGGACAGUGUUCCAUCAGAAAUCCUCAUAAAAUGGAAGCAGCUGUUUAUCUUUUUUAAAUAAAAAAAAGAAAAAUAUUAUGAGGCCCAGUGGCUUUUUACUCUUAAUACCAGUCUAGAGCCUAUUAUUAGAUAUUGUGCCUUCCUCUGGCCUCCCAGUUUUAUGUGAGUGCACCUACCUGCCUUUUUGGACUCUCAUGUCUUGUUUUGUGUUAGUGAGUGGUCACAAUAUAGUUAAAGAGUCAGUUUUAGGUCACCUGACUCAGCUUUACAAUAUCUAGGCUCGAGGUCCCAACAACAGAGCUCUGUAUCCGCUGGCUGCAAACCUGCCUGGCUUCUCGCGUGGGUCUGAUGCUCUGUGAAGGCACCACACUGCUAGAGCUGCCUUGGUAUUCCUGUCUGAAUUACCUAAAAGCAGAUUGGGAUAUGCCUGGGUCAUCUUCAGCAUUGACACAGCCACAGGUAUAUUCUGAAGUGAGUAAUGCAGUCCCUUCUGCCUUCUUGUCUAUGCACCUCCCACAGAAAGUGAAGUGUGGAGGAAUCACCUGUCCAUACUCCCUAGGGGAAGAAUUGCUAUUCCCAUGAUUUUGGGCACUGUGCAGUCCAGAUGUGAGUACUCUAGGGACCAGGCACAAAGGACAGGACAAGGGUUUCAGUAUGUAAGGAGAAACUGCAGUUAUUCCCACAACCAUGUCUGUAUUAGAGGAGGUGUCCUCAUCCAACACAGUCCAUAAGCUUCUGGAUUUUUCUAUCCACUGUUGCCAUCCAGGUGAGGUGAGGGUAGUUUCCCAGCUCUCAGCAACCUGGGUUGUUUCAUCAAUAGGUGCUCGCAGAAUACCAGAAGCCAAAAUGUCUCAUUUAGCACCUUAAAAUUUUGUAGAUAACUAAGCUUUUCGUUACUGAGGGCUGAAUGGGCCUUCCAAAUACAUCUGGGUAGAUAAAUAUUGAUUUCCACCUUAGUUUUAUGCCCAUAAAGCUGGAAUUGAGGAUAAAGGCCUUUCUCAGGGGGGCAGGUUCUCUGUUACAGAAAAAGUUCAGAAAAAAAUCAGACCCACUAUGGGAAAACAGCCAUGAGCAAUUUUCCUUCUGUAUGCAGCAGUUAAAUGCUAAGUUUUAGUACUUAUGAUAAGUAGAGAACUUUUUUCUUCUUAUCUCAGAAAUUCACUUAUAAAAUUUGCAGUUAAUUUCUAAUUAGGUUGUUCAAACUAUUACAAUAAUCUUGAGGAAGCAGCUAUAGCAUUUUUGUACCAUGGCACAGCAUUGUGUAUACAUCAGUCGAAAUGAUCCACUAAAGUAUUAUUAAAACGAUAGAACAAAUUGCAUUUACACAAUAUUAAAUGUACCACAAAGAGUAACUGUGAAAAUUGCUGGCAUAUACAGCUCAUCUAACCUUGGAACUCAAAUUGCUUUUCUAAUUUGCUGCCCUAAUCCUUAAACUGGACUUCUGUAAAACUGCAUUUCUGUGUUGAGGGGGAAGAAAAACAGCACAGAUCACAAACAUUGACAAAUUUAUUAAAUUACGUAGCAAAGAGAGAAAUUAUCAUGUUAAAAAUACUGAGCUGAUAGAACUAUACCUGACCAUUGCAACAGAGAAAUUGCUGUCAUUUGCCAUUAUUGUUCUGUCAGAGGUGCCAGAGUCGCAGCCGCAGCUGGGGCUGGUCAUUUGGUGCAUUUCCCUGCCUCCUGUGGCACCUGUAGGCUCCAGAGAGUGUCACCUAGGCUGCUGAAAAGCAAUUCUGCCUCUCUGGCUACCCCAGUGUACCUGAGGAUCUGCUGGUUUACCUACCUGAGGUUGCCAACAACCCGUUUAUGCAAGGGGCAAAUUCCUCCCUCUCGCAUUGAUUUCACCAGGGUGUUCGCUUUAAUGCUUAGUAAUGCCACUGGAAGUGUCGGUGUAAUUUCACGGGUAGUGUAAUUGCAAGUUAACUUUGUGGCUGAUCUCUUCAACAGAUGGAAGCAGGGUGGGGGUGGUGAUGAAACCCACAGGAAAUGGGUGCUGCUGUAGGAAAACGCAGAUGGAAAAAAGGAGACACAUACGAACAGAGAAAUGGAAGAGAGAGAGAGAGAAAUCAAGGAACCAGGGGAACUAAGAAACACACAGCAGAGGGAGGAUGCUCUGAAUGACCAUUUUUUUAGAGAAAACUAAACGUAACUAAAAAGAGUAUGAAGAAUUUAAUACAAAUUGCAGAUACCAAAUCCUUUAAAGGACAUACACAAAAACAUACAGUAUGGUGGUCAGAUUCUCUGGGACCCUUGCAUUCAAGUCCCUGCUCCUCACCAGACCCUUAAGCCAUAAUUAAUGGGCCUACAACUCAGUCAUGCUGUGGCCCUCGUGUUUCCUAGAGCCUCCAUGCUCAUGAUGACCAGAGGCAAACUCCACAAACUCAAUCAGAAUUUGCUAUCUCAAUACAGCCCUUCCACAAAUUUCUCAUCAAAUCCCUCAAGACCAGUUUCACAGAAAUGCAGAUUUACAACAACUCAACAGAUUCCUUGAGCCUGGGCACCUGAGCAACCUAGGUGUCACAAUGUUUUGCCUUUCUGAGGUAAUGUGAGGAUAAAAGACAGACGCCAAGGAGAAGUCUUGGCACAUCAGGCCCAGCACCAUGCACCCGUGGGCAUUCUGUUGCCAGGACCCAGGCUAAGGUCUCCACAGGAGAUGGUUUUGCUCCACAAAUGCACCAGCACUCUGAUCUGCUCUGCUCCAGAUUUGAGGGUGUGACAGGAAUGCACCCUGAGCGCUGCUAUGCCACUUUUAUCCCAGAUCUAGAGCAGGUGAUGAAUUUUUUUGGUCAAGAACUUUUCUGCACAGAUUCACGCCUCUAGAAGUGUAAAGGAGUUGGGAAUGUCAGAGAAAUCCUCAAAACUGAACCAAAGGGGGCAUCAGGGAGGAGGAAAAUUCGACUGAAGCUCAGCUGUCUGCAUCCAGCAUAGCCUGACCACAGGCAGGGAUUUGCUCCUACUUCCUAUGGCAGUGGUUGGAGGAGGCACGGGUAACAACAACCUUUGCAGUCAUUUCCUGCUCUGGGAAGUACUUUAUUCAUCUGGGUACACAUUACACACUGAAAAAAUGUGAUCAGAGUUUGAAAAGACAAUAGUUCAGAUGUGCUUGAUUUGUGGACUAUAAAUACAGGUAAAGGGAAAGGAGGCCUAACAAACCAGUGCAGCACAGAACAGUAACUGCAGGUAGAUUUCAAGGCUGAAGGCCAGCUUUUAUGGUGGUGUUUCAUGUGUUGCCUAUGAACACGAAGUGGGGAGGAGAGGCACUGUUCUUAAUAAGGGGUCCUUGAUUCUUUUAAGAAACUAGGCCUUCUUCUGUUUCUGAAUUCAGGGGAUACAAGAUCCUGAAAAGAAAGCAGUCCUGAGAAUUUGAAUUAAUGUUCGGGGGAAAAACCCACAGAAUUUUUAUGAGUUCAUUUAUGCCAGUCCCUUCCCAGGCACAUCCUAUUUUUGUGGCCUAUAAACCAAAGACAGUGAAGAACUGAGAUGAGUGAAACCUCUUUAGUGUGCAAAGUGAGAGCCAUCGCUCUAGUUUGUGUACUGACAGUGCGCAGAUAGGUAUAAAAACUUUUACAUACUGUGUAAAU
Passer domesticus (house sparrow) is the source of this 10965-nucleotide long non-coding RNA. RefSeq lists it as uncharacterized. NCBI's taxonomy places the organism in Eukaryota, Metazoa, Chordata, Aves, Passeriformes, Passeridae. The transcript is spliced from 4 exons. The record is from RefSeq and is a predicted model, not a curated record.